This 377-nucleotide unclassified non-coding RNA is filed under the name uncultured delta proteobacterium. RNAcentral describes it as "contains 16S-23S intergenic spacer region". Lineage: Bacteria; Deltaproteobacteria. The record is from RNAcentral.
UCUGCCUUAUCGGCGAGCGGUUUCAUUAGAGUGCCCAACUAAAUGCUGGCAACUAAUGACAAGGGUUGCGCUCGUUGCGGGACUUAACCCAACAUCUCACGACACGAGCUGACGACAGCCAUGCAGCACCUGUCUCGACGUCCCCGAAGGGAACUCCCGCUUUCACGGGAUAGCGUCGGAUGUCAAGCCCAGGUAAGGUUUUUCGCGUUGCGUCGAAUUAAACCACAUACUCCACCGCUUGUGCGGGCCCCCGUCAAUUUCUUUGAGUUUUAAUCUUGCGACCGUACUUCCCAGGCGGGACACUUAAUGCGUUAGCUGCGACACCGAGAGGGUAAGUCUCCCGACAUCUAGUGUCCAUAGUUUACGGCGUGGACUAC